This 253-nucleotide ribosomal RNA is filed under the name uncultured bacterium. RNAcentral describes it as "partial 16S ribosomal RNA". It matches the Rfam family "Bacterial small subunit ribosomal RNA", at positions 524 to 776 of the family's 1533-position model. The record is from RNAcentral.
UACGUAGGGCGCGAGCGUUGUCCGGAAUUAUUGGGCGUAAAGAGCUCGUAGGCGGCCUGUUGCGUCUGCUGUGAAAUCCCGGGGCUUAACCCCGGGCGUGCAGUGGAUACGGGCAGGCUGGAGGCAGGCAGGGGAGAAUGGAAUUCCCGGUGUAGCGGUGAAAUGCGCAGAUAUCGGGAGGAACACCGGUGGCGAAGGCGGUUCUCUGGGCCUGUUCUGACGCUGAGACACGAAAGCCAGGGGAGCGAACGGG